This 317-nucleotide unclassified non-coding RNA is filed under the name uncultured fungus. RNAcentral's name for it is "partial contains small subunit ribosomal RNA, internal transcribed spacer 1, and 5.8S ribosomal RNA". The stretch from base 1 to 73 matches the Rfam family "Eukaryotic small subunit ribosomal RNA", at positions 1759 to 1831 of the family's 1831-position model. Lineage: Eukaryota; Fungi. The record is from RNAcentral.
UCAAACUUGGUCAUUUAGAGGAAGUAAAAGUCGUAACAAGGUUUCCGUAGGUGAACCUGCGGAAGGAUCAUUAUCGAGUUAGGGUUCCUCUCACGGGCCCGAUCUCCCAACCCUGUGUCUACCACACCUUUGUCGUUGCUUCGGCGGACCGGUGUUCGCCACCGCCGGGGGUGCACGCCCCUGGAGAGUGUCCGCCGAUGGCCCAACCACAACAACUCUUUGUACGAAACCAUGUCGUCUGAAAAAUACUUGAUAUAAUCAAAAACAAAACUUUCAACAACGGAUCUCUUGGUUCUGGCAUCGAUGAAGAACGCAGC